Non-coding RNA from Oncorhynchus kisutch (coho salmon), 965 nucleotides. The record is from the annotation of a RefSeq genome assembly. NCBI's taxonomy places the organism in Eukaryota, Metazoa, Chordata, Actinopteri, Salmoniformes, Salmonidae.
UAAAUGAUCUCUUUUCAGAACUACAGCAAAAUCAUGAAGAUGACAUUUAGCAGCAAUCCAACCCAGAAAGACAGUUGAACUCAAAUACACAACAAACUAUACUGUAGAGAGGUGGAGCUACAUAGUCAAUGAGUGCUUUGACAGUACAGUAUGUAGUCUACAAUAUGUUUGAGGAGAGGAUAAUGAUACACUCUUACUUGACAGGGCAUGAAGACAGUCAUUCAGACACCAUGAAGAUGUUUUACACAAUUCUGCUUUUUUCAAUGUUCUUAGGUAGCAGUUAUGAGGAGGAAAUAAUAUCAGCCACAACUGAAGAGCGUGUUUUUGAGGGUGGUGGGAUUACUUUAUCCUGCAACUACACUGGCUCUUACGGUAGUGAUUCUUUACUGUGGUAUCAACAAUACCCCAGAUCAAAACCAGAAUUCCUGCUCCUCAUCACUGAAGGAGGGUUAAAGACACAUAAUGAAUCGACCCAUCCUCGACUGUCUGUUAAACUGAAUGAAGAGAAGACCCGUGUGGAUCUGGAGAUCUCCUCUGCUGAAGUGACAGACUCUGCUCUGUACUACUGUGCUCUGAGGCCCACAGUGACAGGAAACCCAGAAACACUGUACAAAAACCUGACAACACACAAUAUACUGUAGAAUAAAAGCCAUAACAGACAACAUUUCACUUUGGUGUCAAGAGGAGGGGCUGUAUAAUCAAAGAUCCACAUGAAGCUUAUGGGAUUUUAUUGUUCGUUAGUUAGUCGGUCAGGUCUUUCACUGCUGUCUGUCUGUCUGUCAGUUUCUCAAAGGUCUAAGCAAGAUGUUUCUUAAACAUUAUUAUUUAUUUUUUUUAAUGUAGGAGGUAGAUCAGCUUUAAUAUUGCUGAUAGAUUGUAGCUUCUAUCAAUGCAGUUGUCUGCAUCACAAUGCCAAGAGUAUACAAAGCUGUCAUCAAGGCAAAGUUUGGCUACUUUGAAGAAUC